GACGAACGCUGGCGGCGCGCCUAACACAUGCAAGUCGAACGAGAGAUGAGGAGCUUGCUCUUCAAAUCGAGUGGCGAACGGGUGAGUAACGCGUGAGGAACCUGCCUCAAAGAGGGGGACAACAGUUGGAAACGACUGCUAAUACCGCAUAAGCCCACGGCUCGGCAUCGAGCAGAGGGAAAAGGAGCAAUCCGCUUUGAGAUGGCCUCGCGUCCGAUUAGCUAGUUGGUGAGGUAACGGCCCACCAAGGCGACGAUCGGUAGCCGGACUGAGAGGUUGAACGGCCACAUUGGGACUGAGACACGGCCCAGACUCCUACGGGAGGCAGCAGUGGGGAACAUUGCACAAUGGGGGAAACCCUGAUGCAGCGACGCCGCGUGGAGGAAGAAGGUCUUCGGAUUGUAAACUCCUGUUGUUGAGGAAGAUAAUGACGGUACUCAACAAGGAAGUGACGGCUAACUACGUGCCAGCAGCCGCGGUAAAACGUAGGUCACAAGCGUUGUCCGGAAUUACUGGGUGUAAAGGGAGCGCAGGCGGGAGAACAAGUUGGAAGUGAAAUCCAUGGGCUCAACCCAUGAACUGCUUUCAAAACUGUUUUUCUUGAGUAGUGCAGAGGUAGGCGGAAUUCCCGGUGUAGCGGUGGAAUGCGUAGAUAUCGGGAGGAACACCAGUGGCGAAGGCGGCCUACUGGGCACCAACUGACGCUGAGGCUCGAAAGUGUGGGUAGCAAACAGGAUUAGAUACCCUGGUAGUCCACACCGUAAACGAUGAUUACUAGGUGUUGGAGGAUUGACCCCUUCAGUGCCGCAGUUAACACAAUAAGUAAUCCACCUGGGGAGUACGACCGCAAGGUUGAAACUCAAAGGAAUUGACGGGGGCCCGCACAAGCAGUGGAGUAUGUGGUUUAAUUCGACGCAACGCGAAGAACCUUACCAAGUCUUGACAUCCCUUGACGAUGCUGGAAACAGUAUUUCUCUUCGGAGCAAGGAGACAGGUGGUGCAUGGUUGUCGUCAGCUCGUGUCGUGAGAUGUUGGGUUAAGUCCCGCAACGAGCGCAACCCUUAUGGUCAGUUACUACGCAAGAGGACUCUGGCCAGACUGCCGUUGACAAAACGGAGGAAGGUGGGGAUGACGUCAAAUCAUCAUGCCCUUUAUGACUUGGGCUACACACGUACUACAAUGGCGUUAAACAAAGAGAAGCAAGACCGCGAGGUGGAGCAAAACUCAGAAACAACGUCCCAGUUCGGACUGCAGGCUGCAACUCGCCUGCACGAAGUCGGAAUUGCUAGUAAUCGUGGAUCAGCAUGCCACGGUGAAUACGUUCCCGGGCCUU
This 1333-nucleotide ribosomal RNA is filed under the name uncultured bacterium. RNAcentral's name for it is "bacterial SSU rRNA". It matches the Rfam family "Bacterial small subunit ribosomal RNA", at positions 28 to 1382 of the family's 1533-position model. The record is from RNAcentral.